Molecule: transfer RNA, 77 nt
Filed under: Francisella tularensis subsp. holarctica OSU18
Lineage: Bacteria; Pseudomonadati; Pseudomonadota; Gammaproteobacteria; Thiotrichales; Francisellaceae
Description: tRNA-Gln
Rfam family: tRNA
About the family: Transfer RNA (tRNA) molecules are approximately 80 nucleotides in length. Their secondary structure includes four short double-helical elements and three loops (D, anti-codon, and T loops).
Source: RNAcentral
UUGGGCUAUCGCCAAGCGGUAAGGCAACGGGUUUUGAUCCCGUCAUUCCCAGGUUCGAAUCCUGGUAGCCCAGCCAU